This 470-nucleotide ribosomal RNA is filed under the name uncultured bacterium. RNAcentral describes it as "bacterial SSU rRNA". It matches the Rfam family "Bacterial small subunit ribosomal RNA", at positions 27 to 518 of the family's 1533-position model. The record is from RNAcentral.
GGACGAACGCUGGCGGUGUGCCUCAUACAUGCAAGUCGAACGAUAAGGUCGUCUUCGGAGAUACAUAAGUGGCGGACGGGUGAGUACAACAUAGGAAAUCUGCCCAGAGAGGGGACAACAGAGGAAACUUCUGCUAAUACCCAUAUGAGCUAACUUGAAAUAGUUAUCGUUGAAAACUCCGGUGCUCUGGGAUGAGCCUGUGCCUGAUUAGCUGGUUGGUGGUGUAAUGGACUACCAAGGCGACGAUCAGUAGCUGGUUUGAGAGGAUGAUCAGCCACAAUGGGACUGAGACACGGCCCAUACUCCUACGGGAGGCAGCAGUAGGGAAUAUUGGACAAUGGGGGAAACCCUGAUCCAGCGGAACCGCCGCGUGAGUGAAGAAGUUAUUCGUAAUGUAAAGCUCUAUCAGCAGGGACGAUAAUGACGGUACCUGACUAAGAAGCACCGGCUAAAUACGUGCCAGCCGCUGC